This 878-nucleotide long non-coding RNA is filed under the name Marmota monax (woodchuck). The record is from RNAcentral. Lineage: Eukaryota; Metazoa; Chordata; Mammalia; Rodentia; Sciuridae.
UUUUGAGAAGUCUGUGUUUUAGUUUCUUCGCUCAUUUAUUGAUUAUUUGUUUUGUUAUUUGGUGUUUUUUGAGUUCUUUGUAUAUCUUGGAUAUUAAUGCCCUAUCUGAGGAGCAGGUGGCAAAGAUUUUCUCCCUUUCUUUUGACUUUCUCUUGAUGCUCUUAGUUGUUUCCUUUGUGUGAAGAAGGUUUUUAAUUUGAUGCCAUCCCACAAUUGAUAUUUUAUGUCUUGUACCUUAGGAGUCCUUGUUAAGGAAAUCAGUUCCUAAGCUGACAUGUUGGUUGGAGUGUUGGGCCUACCUACAUUUUCUUCUAAGAGGUACAAAGUUUCUGGUCUAAUUUCUAGAUCUUUGAUCCAUCUUCAUUUGAUUUUUGUGGAGGGUGAGAGAUGGGGGUUAAAUUUUAUUAUACUACAUAUAGAUUUCCAGUUAUCCCAGCACCAUUUGUUUAAAAGGCCAUCUUUUCUCUAAUGUAUAUUUUUAACACCUUUGUCUAGCAUCAUAUAACUGGAUUUAUGUGGUUUUGUCCCUGUGAAAUGACCUGAUUUUGAAUCACCAUCUUUCCACAGUUACUUCCUUUAUAAAACAUAGAUGAGAAUGAGAUGGAAUGGAAGCCAUCUAAUAUAGAUGAUCUCUGAAUUAUGAUGGUUCAACUUAACAGUUUAUCCAUGGUGUAAAAAUGAUACACAUUUAGUUGAAUCUGUACUUUGAAUUUUUUUUAAUAUUUAUUUUUUAGUUGUAGUUGGACACAAUACCUUUAUUUCACUUACUUAUUUUUAUGUGGUACUGAGGAUUGAACCCAAGUUCUUGCAUGUACAAGAUGAGUGCUCUCCUGCUGAGCCACAGCCCCAGCCCCUGGACUUUGAAUUUUAUCUUUUGC